Molecule: transfer RNA, 73 nt
Filed under: Brassica napus (rape)
Lineage: Eukaryota; Viridiplantae; Streptophyta; Magnoliopsida; Brassicales; Brassicaceae
Description: tRNA-Tyr (GTA) (tRNA-Tyr-GTA-15-1)
Rfam family: tRNA
About the family: Transfer RNA (tRNA) molecules are approximately 80 nucleotides in length. Their secondary structure includes four short double-helical elements and three loops (D, anti-codon, and T loops). Further hydrogen bonds mediate the characteristic L-shaped molecular structure. tRNAs have two regions of fundamental functional importance: the anti-codon, which is responsible for specific mRNA codon recognition, and the 3' end, to which the tRNAs corresponding amino acid is attached (by aminoacyl-tRNA synthetases). tRNAs cope with the degeneracy of the genetic code in two manners: having more than one tRNA (with a specific anti-codon) for a particular amino acid; and 'wobble' base-pairing, i.e. permitting non-standard base-pairing at the 3rd anti-codon position.
Source: RNAcentral
CCGACCUUAGCUCAGUUGGUAGAGCGGAGGACUGUAAAUCCUUAGGUCACUGGGUCGAAUCCGGUAGGUCGGA